This 352-nucleotide long non-coding RNA is filed under the name Homo sapiens (human). RNAcentral's name for it is "non-protein coding lnc-THYN1-3:1". Lineage: Eukaryota; Metazoa; Chordata; Mammalia; Primates; Hominidae. The record is from RNAcentral.
GGGAUAUAGCCCAGCUGUGUCCAGCCAGGGUGGAGAAGCGCAUCUUCCUUCUGAUUCAGUCCGUCCUGGCUUCGUCUGCUGAUGCUGACCACUCACCAUCAUCUCAAGGCAGCAGUGAGGCCCCAGCGUCUCAGCCACCCCCCCAGGUCAGAGGUUCUGUCAUGCCCUCUGUGAUUAGAGCACAUGCCAUCAUUACCUUAGGUAAGAAAAACAUGGGAGAAUGGGGCUUGACAUCGUUCUGUGUGUAGCUGUUGUCUUAAGUAAGCCCAGCCAUGGGACUGUGUCAGGGGCUGCGGAGCCUGUCUGUGUCUGCUCUCAGCCAUGUGGUUCCUAGAGGUGGCUCUGAUCUGAG